CUCCUCUUAGGGUUGCACUUGGAGAGUUUCCAGUACUCUACCAGUCUUGACUACAGGAGAAUGAGUCAAGCGGAGGAUUACCCAUUCCAUUCCUAGCUUGCCCAGUGGCUAGUGAGUGGAAACCAAUCUGCUACAAGU
This is a small nucleolar RNA of Tachyglossus aculeatus (Australian echidna), 138 nucleotides long. The record is from RefSeq and is a predicted model, not a curated record. NCBI's taxonomy places the organism in Eukaryota, Metazoa, Chordata, Mammalia, Monotremata, Tachyglossidae.